Non-coding RNA from Musa acuminata subsp. malaccensis (wild Malaysian banana), 890 nucleotides. The record is from RefSeq and is a predicted model, not a curated record. NCBI's taxonomy places the organism in Eukaryota, Viridiplantae, Streptophyta, Magnoliopsida, Zingiberales, Musaceae.
GGGUCGGCAUGCGGCCGCUUUCACGCUAGUCGGCACCUGUCCCGAAGCUGGCUUCCGCGUGGCGGUGGCUCAUGGUGGAGGUCUAGGAAGAUUCACUGGAGGUUGGGUGGGGCGUGGCAUCUUCCUAAGAAGCUUCCACGCGGAAGAAACGUGUUCCUCGUCUUCCUCCCUGGUUACUAUAUUACAAAGGGCUGCGUGUGGAAGUCUUCCCGCACAGGUGUCCGCUACGUGAGUCGUGGAUCUCCCAUCAUCCAUGAGGCUGCCUUCUUCCUGCGUUUCCUGAACAAAGAGGGGAUUGUGACUUUUCCCACUAAGUUCUUCGUGUUAAUUUACUGAGGUAUCAUUGGAUCACACAUAUCUGCAAAAAAUUAUCGAUUAGGAUUGCAAGGAAUUGAGGAGACGAAGUAACACAUUGGGAGAAGUACGAGCAUAAGAAUCAAAUCACAUGUUCAUUGCAUAGAGACAGGCCAUUAAUCUGGACGGAGCAGACCACCUAAUUUUUAUCAUGGAGUGCAGCACAGUUGAGCAAUUAAUUCAGUUCUCAUUCCACUGGAUGAACAUUGCAUUGAUCAGGCCAACCACGCAGGUCAGCCAUCAAGUCCAACUCAUGCGUUUUCCCAUCAGUUUCGUUAUGAUGUAGAAGAAGGUGUCAUCUUCUGAAGGUAGACAACUUCCAGCAGAAAUAGGAGAUUGAUAAGAAAUAGCCACAAUGAGUCAAACUCCAAUGAGGCAUGGCAAAGUUCAUGAACCAAUAAGCAUACAAGUUGUUGUCAUCAAUAAAAGGUUGUUUCUCAUGAUGGCUUAUAAGACAUGACAGUUCCACUUUCUCUCCAUAUCUCAUACCAAUAUAUUUCAGUGAUCUACAGCAAUGCUGAAGAACUUAUAUGUCA